CUACGGGUUGCUCCAGUGGGGAAUAUUGGACAAUGGGGGAAACCCUGAUCCAGCAAUGCCGCGUGUGUGAAGAAGGCCUGCGGGUUGUAAAGCACUUUCGGUUGGGAGGACUGCUUCUAGCACUAAUAUUGUUGGAAGUUGACGUUACCUUCAGAAGAAGCACCGGCUAACUCCGUGCCAGCAGCCGCGGUAAUACGGAGGGUGCAAGCGUUAAUCGGAAUUACUGGGCGUAAAGCGCGCGUAGGCGGCUAGAUCAGUCGGGUGUGAAAGCCCCGGGCUUAACCUGGGAACUGCAUCCGAUACUGGCUAGCUUGAGUACAGGAGAGGAGAGUGGAAUUCCACAUGUAGCGGUGACAUGCGUAGAUAUGUGGAGGAACACCAAUGGCGAAGGCAGCUCUCUGGCCUGAUACUGACGCUGAGGUGCGAAAGCGUGGGAAGCAAACAGGAUUAGAUACCCCUGUAGUC
RNAcentral lists this ribosomal RNA (465 nucleotides) under uncultured bacterium. Its description in RNAcentral is "partial 16S ribosomal RNA". It matches the Rfam family "Bacterial small subunit ribosomal RNA", at positions 339 to 795 of the family's 1533-position model. The record is from RNAcentral.